RNAcentral lists this ribosomal RNA (460 nucleotides) under uncultured bacterium. RNAcentral describes it as "partial 16S ribosomal RNA". It matches the Rfam family "Bacterial small subunit ribosomal RNA", at positions 338 to 795 of the family's 1533-position model. The record is from RNAcentral.
CCUACGGGAGGCAGCAGUGAGGAAUAUUGGUCAAUGGGCGUAAGCCUGAACCAGCCAAGCCGCGUGAGGGAUGAAGGUUCUAUGGAUCGUAAACCUCUUUUAUAAGGGAAUAAAGUGUGGGACGUGUCCUAUUUUGUAUGUACCUUAUGAAUAAGGAUCGGCUAACUCCGUUCCAGCAGCCGCGGUAAUACGGAGGAUCCGAGCGUUAUCCGGAUUUAUUGGGUUUAAAGGGUGCGUAGGCGGCCUUUUAAUUCAGCGGGAAAAGUCUGUGGCUCAACCAUCGAAUUCCCGUUGAAACUGGGGGGCUUGAGUAUGUUAGAGGCAGGCGGAAUGCGUGGUGUAGCGGUGAAAUGCUUAGAUAUCACGCAGAACCCCGAUUGCGAAGGCAGCCUGCCGGGCCAUGACUGACGCUGAGGCACGAAAGCGUGGGGAUCAAACAGGAUUAGAUACCCCUGUAGUC